RNAcentral lists this long non-coding RNA (790 nucleotides) under Cyanistes caeruleus (blue tit). Its description in RNAcentral is "lncRNA (ENSCCEG00000020004.1)". The record is from RNAcentral. Lineage: Eukaryota; Metazoa; Chordata; Aves; Passeriformes; Paridae.
UUUAUACCUUUCUUUUGCUUAUCUCUUUCUACUCUCUCCUUUUACCUUCUUUACACAGCUGUCAAUUUGGGAGAGAAUGAGUCAAGAUGCUCUUCAAAAAAUUUGAUCCCACAGAAGAUAUGGAAAAUGGUCAAAAAGCCUUGGCUAGAGAAGAAGCUCUGGCUCCCACUCCUCAUAUACAUACUUUUACCACCAGACAUUGUGGAAAAGGUGAGAUCUGGUGAAUACUUUUUCUCAAGAAAGAAGGAUGAGCAAUUCCCCUUUGCAGGCGGAGCUGCCCACAAACCCUGGACACUGGCUACCUGCAGGAGUCACAGGGAGCACCAGUGCAACACAGCAUGGAAAACACUUAUGUUCCUAGCAGGGCAAUCCAAAGCAAUACAUUUCACAACCAGUCAACAAACAAGGAUAUAGACUGGCAGUUGUGAGCCCUCCUGCUGGAAGUGCUUGUAUGGAUCUCAUGAGAAGCCAAGGAAGUUCCAUUCAGUUCACUAACCAGUCGUAAGUCAAUAGCAAAUCCCAGCUGCAGUCUCUCUGCCAGGCCUACCAGGCUUCGGCAUGGAUCCCAGGCAGACCAACAGAACUAAAUUUACAGUGGAACUGUUUGGAAUAACAAAUUAAGAGGAAAAAAAUCAGGAUAUGUUCAUAAUUACAUUCCAUGAACGUAAAGGGAGGUCAUGUGUUGCAUAUGUUAUUUUUUGCAGAAAGUCAUUCUCUCCCAGCUCUAAAUUAAUCAUGUUUCAUCAGAAUGGUUUUGCAUAUCAAUAAAGCUGCAUUGCUUAGAAAUUCA